GCUUGACUGCGAGACCUACAAGUCGAGCAGGGUCGAAAGACGGACUUAGUGAUCCGGUGGUUCCGCAUGGAAGGGCCAUCGCUCAACGGAUAAAAGCUACCCCGGGGAUAACAGGCUUAUCUCCCCCAAGAGUUCACAUCGACGGGGAGGUUUGGCACCUCGAUGUCGGCUCAUCGCAUCCUGGGGCUGUAGUCGGUCCCAAGGGUUGGGCUGUUCGCCCAUUAAAGCGGUACGCGAGCUGGGUUCAGAACGUCGUGAGACAGUUCGGUCCCUAUCCGUCGUGGGCGUAGGAAAUUUGAGAGGAGCUGUCCUUAGUACGAGAGGACCGGGAUGGACAUACCUCUGGUGUACCAGUUGUCGUGCCAACGGCAUAGCUGGGUAGCUAUGUGUGGACGGGAUAAGUGCUGAAAGCAUCUAAGCAUGAAGCCCCCCUCAAGAUGAGAUUUCCCAACUUCGGUUAUAAGAUCCCUCAAAGAUGAUGAGGUUAAUAGGUUCGAGGUGGAAGCAUGGUGACAUGUGGAGCUGACGAAUACUAAUCGAUCGAAGACUUAAUCAAAA
Molecule: ribosomal RNA, 558 nt
Rfam family: Bacterial large subunit ribosomal RNA